AUUGAACGCUGGCGGCAGGCUUAACACAUGCAAGUCGAGCGGGGGAAGGUAGCUUGCUACCGGACCUAGCGGCGGACGGGUGAGUAAUGCUUAGGAAUCUGCCUAUUAGUGGGGGACGACAUCUCGAAAGGGAUGCUAAUACCGCAUACGUCCUACGGGAGAAAGCAGGGGAUCUUCGGACCUUGCGCUAAUAGAUGAGCCUAGUCGGAUUAGCUAGUUGGUGGGGUAAAGGCCUACCAAGGCGACGAUCUGUAGCGGGUCUGAGAGGAUGAUCCGCCACACUGGGACUGAGACACGGCCCAGACUCCUACGGGAGGCAGCAGUGGGGAAUAUUGGACAAUGGGGGGAACCCUGAUCCAGCCAUGCCGCGUGUGUGAAGAAGGCCUUAUGGUUGUAAAGCACUUUAAGCGAGGAGGAGGCUACUCUAGUUAAUACCCAGGGAUAGUGGACGUUACUCGCAGAAUAAGCACCGGCUAACUCUGUGCCAGCAGCCGCCGUAA
RNAcentral lists this ribosomal RNA (500 nucleotides) under uncultured bacterium. Its description in RNAcentral is "partial 16S ribosomal RNA". It matches the Rfam family "Bacterial small subunit ribosomal RNA", at positions 30 to 523 of the family's 1533-position model. The record is from RNAcentral.